This 494-nucleotide ribosomal RNA is filed under the name uncultured bacterium. RNAcentral's name for it is "partial 16S ribosomal RNA". It matches the Rfam family "Bacterial small subunit ribosomal RNA", at positions 28 to 523 of the family's 1533-position model. The record is from RNAcentral.
GAUGAACGCUGGCGGCAGGCUUAACACAUGCAAGUCGAGGGGUAUAGGUUUUCGGACCUAGAGACCGGCGCACGGGUGCGUAACGCGUAUGCAAUCUACCUUUCACAGAGGGAUAGCCCAGAGAAAUUUGGAUUAAUACCUCAUAGUAUAGCAGUUUCGCAUGAAACCACUAUUAAAGUAUCAACGGUGAAAGAUGAGCAUGCGUCCCAUUAGCUAGAUGGUAAGGUAACGGCUUACCAUGGCUACGAUGGGUAGGGGUCCUGAGAGGGAGAUCCCCCACACUGGUACUGAGACACGGACCAGACUCCUACGGGAGGCAGCAGUGAGGAAUAUUGGUCAAUGGACGCAAGUCUGAACCAGCCAUGCCGCGUGCAGGAUGACGGUCCUAUGGAUUGUAAACUGCUUUUGUACGAGAAGAAACAACAUUACGUGUAAUGUCUUGACGGUAUCGUAAGAAUAAGGAUCGGCUAACUCCGUGCCAGCCGCCGCAGUAA